AGGUCCUACGGGACGCAGCAGUGGGGGAUAUUGCACAAUGGGGGGAACCCUGAUGCAGCGACGCCGCGUGGGUGAAGGAGCGUUUCGGCGCGUAAAGCCCUAUCGGCAGGGAAGAAGGAGGACGGUACCUGACUAAGAAGCCCCGGCUAACUACGUGCCAGCAGCCGCGGUAAUACGUAGGAUGCGAGCGUUAUCCAGAUUUAUUGGGUUUAAAGGGUGCGUAGGCGGGAUAUUAAGUCAGCGGUAAAAUCGAGGGGCUCAACCCCUUUCAGCCGUUGAAACUGGUAUUCUUGAGUGAAUGAGAA
This 305-nucleotide ribosomal RNA is filed under the name uncultured bacterium. Its description in RNAcentral is "bacterial SSU rRNA". It matches the Rfam family "Bacterial small subunit ribosomal RNA", at positions 334 to 656 of the family's 1533-position model. The record is from RNAcentral.